AAUGAACGCUGGCGGCGUGCUUAACACAUGCAAGUCGAACGAGAAAGGGAUUGCUUGCAGUCCCGAGUAGAGUGGCGCACGGGUGAGUAACACGUAGAUAAUCUGCCUUCAAGCCUGGGAUAACUAUUCGAAAGGGUAGCUAAUACCGGAUAAAGUCGAUCUACACAAGUAGAUUGAUGAAAGAUUGCCUCUUCUUGAAAGCAAUUGUUUGGAGAUGAGUUUGCGUACCAUUAGCUUGUUGGUGGGGUAAAGGCCUACCAAGGCAACGAUGGUUAGCUGGUCUGAGAGGAUGAUCAGCCACACUGGAACUGGAACACGGUCCAGACUCCUACGGGAGGCAGCAGUGAGGAAUUUUGCGCAAUGGGGGCAACCCUGACGCAGCAACGCCGCGUGAGUGAAGAAGGCCUUUGGGUCGUAAAGCUCUGUCAA
Molecule: ribosomal RNA, 429 nt
Filed under: uncultured bacterium
Lineage: Bacteria
Description: bacterial SSU rRNA
Rfam family: Bacterial small subunit ribosomal RNA
Source: RNAcentral